This 555-nucleotide ribosomal RNA is filed under the name uncultured fungus. RNAcentral describes it as "bacterial SSU rRNA". It matches the Rfam family "Eukaryotic small subunit ribosomal RNA", at positions 21 to 584 of the family's 1831-position model. Lineage: Eukaryota; Fungi. The record is from RNAcentral.
AUUGUAGUCUAUGCUUGUCUCAAAGAUUAAGCCAUGCAUGUAUAAGUGUAAGCGUAUUUACAGUAAAACUGCGAACGGCUCAUUAAAUCAGUUAUAAUCUACUCGGCGUUUUUUUUUACUUGGAUAACUCUGGAAAAUCUAGAGCUAAUACAUGCAUUGAGUCCCAACUUUUCGGAAGGGAUGCACUAUUAGGACCUAAACAAACCGGGGUUUCCUCGUAAGAUGAAUCUUAAUAGUAUGACAUGAUCGUUUUGGCUUUUGCCUACGACACACCGACCGAGUAUCUGCCCUAUCAGCUAGAUGGUAGUGUAUUGGACUACCAUGGCAUUAACGGGUAACGGGGAAUUAGGGUUCGAUUCCGGAGAGGCCGCAUGAGAAACGGCGACCACUUCUAAGGAAGGCAGCAGGCGCGCAAAUUACCCAAUCCUAACACAGGGAGGUAGUGACAAUAUAUAACGACGUGGGUCCCAUUAGGAACUCGCGAUCGUAAUGAGAACAAUUUAAAAUCCUUAACGAGGAACAAUUGGAGGGCAAGUCUGGUGCCAGCAGCCAAUC